UACGUAGGUGACAAGCGUUAUCCGGAUUUAUUGGGCGUAAAGCGCACGCAGGCGGUCUAUCAAGUCUGACGUGAAAUCUCUCGGCUUAACCGGGAGCGGUCGUUGGAAACUGAAGGACUUGAGGCGAUGAGAGGGGUGUGGAAUUCCUGGUGUAGCGGUGAAAUGCGCAGAUAUCAGGAGGAACACCGAUGGCGAAGGCAGGUCUCUGGGCAUUAACUGACGCUGAGGAGCGAAAGCAUGGGGAGCGAACAGG
This 253-nucleotide ribosomal RNA is filed under the name uncultured bacterium. RNAcentral describes it as "partial 16S ribosomal RNA". It matches the Rfam family "Bacterial small subunit ribosomal RNA", at positions 524 to 776 of the family's 1533-position model. The record is from RNAcentral.